GAUGAACGCUGGCGGCGUGCCUAAUACAUGCAAGUCGAGCGAACGGACGAGAAGCUUGCUCCUCUGAUGUUAGCGGCGGACGGGUGAGUAACACGUGGAUAACCUACCUAUAAGACUGGGAUAACUUCGGGAAACCGGAGCUAAUACCGGAUAAUAUUUUGAACCGCAUGGUUCAAAAGUGAAAGACGGUCUUGCUGUCACUUAUAGAUGGAUCCGCGCUGCAUUAGCUAGUUGGUAAGGUAACGGCUUACCAAGGCAACGAUGCGUAGCCGACCUGAGAGGGUGAUCGGCCACACUGGAACUGAGACACGGUCCAGACUCCUACGGGAGGCAGCAGUAGGGAAUCUUCCGCAAUGGGCGAAAGCCUGACGGAGCAACGCCGCGUGAGUGAUGAAGGUCUUCGGAUCGUAAAACUCUGUUAUUAGGGAAGAACAAAUGUGUAAGUAACUGUGCACAUCUUGACGGUACCUAAUCAGAAAGCCACGGCUAACUACGUG
This 497-nucleotide ribosomal RNA is filed under the name uncultured bacterium. Its description in RNAcentral is "partial 16S ribosomal RNA". It matches the Rfam family "Bacterial small subunit ribosomal RNA", at positions 28 to 507 of the family's 1533-position model. The record is from RNAcentral.